This 4661-nucleotide long non-coding RNA is filed under the name Nicotiana benthamiana. Its description in RNAcentral is "long non-coding RNA (NBEN_LNC013776)". The record is from RNAcentral. Lineage: Eukaryota; Viridiplantae; Streptophyta; Magnoliopsida; Solanales; Solanaceae.
UAAAAUUAAGAAACAUCAACAUUUCAUUAACUGUAAAAAAUACUGUCACAGUAGUAUCAUAUGUCAUAAGCUAAACUUGAACAUAGUUAUUCAUCCAUAGUAAUCUGCUAUUACAUUGUCUUAAUACAUCCACUUCAAUUGAAAUGAAUCUCAAUUGCUAUCACAAGGAUUACUAGCUCCAGAAGAUCUUCUUGCAUCCGUUGGUGAAACGGGUCCACUAGCUGCAUCUCUUGGCUGCAGCAAAAAGUAAAUAAUGUGUGAAAAUGAGGGUGCAAACACCUCUUUAUUCUGCUUAACUAAGACAAGUAAGGAUCUGGUAUCUACUUGAGCUUCACACGCCUAGUCUUUAACCAGAAUACUUUGAUAAAAUAUUGAAGACAAGAGGGGUUGCUCUGAUGGUAAGCAACCCCCACUUCCAAUCGAGAUGUUGUGAGUUCGAGUCUCCGCAAGAGCAAGGUGGGAAGUUCUUGGAGGGAAGGAUGCCGGGGGGCUAUUUGCCAAUCGAGAUGUUGUGAGUUCGAGUCUCCCCAAGAGCAAGGUGGAAAGUUCUUGGAGGGAAGGAUGCCGGGGGUCUAUUUGGAAAUAGUCUCUCUAUCCCAGGGUAGAGGUAAGGUCUGCGUACAUACUACCCUCCCCUGAACCCACUAUGUCGGAUUAUACUGGAUUGUUAUUAUUGUUGUUGUUCUUUGAUAAAAUAUUCAGUAACCCCAUGAGAGUUUAGGAGCAGACAGGUAGUGGUAUACCCUCCAUGAUACUGACCAAGCCACAUAAAUACUGGUAUAUCAACAAUACACAUCAGAUAACGAAUACUCAAAAACAAUAGCACCCUCCAAAUUGGUUCUCUCGAAGGGCGAAGACAAUUCAUCCCCAGCUUUACAAGGAUGCAACAACAACUAGAUUUAUGUGUGACACUGCAUUUUCCUUUUAACUGUUGUGCGUGAAUCACAGAAGUAAUAUACCUACCAUUUAUUUUAACGCAAGUAGGAGUAAACAAAUCGGCAUCCUAACCACCUCUGCAGUGGGAACGCAUUCUAUGGGCUGGACAGUGGUAAAUUCCACCAACAUAAAGCCAAAUGUUCAUUCAAUAGAGUCUGAACCUGUGCUAUCUUUCUAUCAAUAGCUAUCUCUACAGGAUGAAGCAACCAGAUACUAAAGACUAGCAGCUAUUAAACAGUGAUAUUAAUAUUUAACUGAAAGAUAAUAACAUGCAUAGACAAGAAUAUCACCCACAUAAACGAGGCAGCUAACAAGGCAAAGUGUGAGCACAAUGCGAUCUUGUAACUUUUCUAGAUCCGUCAAACUCAAACUUUUAAGACAAAGUUCUCUGAAAAAAGAGGAAAGCUCUACUAAGACUGCAACAACCUCCUUUGGCAGCACAUUCCGAAUUGCUAUUGGUAGCAAUUGCUCCAUAAUAAUGUGACAAUCAUGACUCUUUUAUCUAAAGAUUCUCCUUUGGUCUGGAUCAAUACAAUCAGAAAUAUUACUCGAGUAACCAUUCGGCACUGAAAUAUUCUUUAAAGUUGUGAGGAAAGCCACUUUCUUUUCCUUUGGAAUGGUAAACACAGCGGUCAAUACUCAUCAUUCUCAUCAGGUCAAAGAUCACGCUUUAUACCCAUAUCUUGCAGAUUUUUUCGCGCCUUAAUAUUAUCUUUUGACUUGUCUUUAUCAUUGAGCAAAUAAUAUAUAACAUUGUCAAACACAUUCUUUUUUAUGUGCACGACAUUUAAAUUGUGGCGCAAUGAAUUGAACUCCCAAUAUGGAAGAUUAAAGAAUAUGUUUUUUUCCUCCAUUGUUGUGCUUCACCUUGCCUAAUAUUUCUUUGUCUAGAUCUUUUUCUUCUCUCACUCAACUCAACCGAUUUUCCAAAUGUAACAUCGGUACCUUUCACUUGUUGCAAAAUAUCAUACCCGGAUAACUUUCUUGGUGGAUUUCUUUCUUCCCCAUUUCCAUCAAAGCGAUGCCUCAUCAGUCUAAAUUUAUGAUUUCUUGCUAAAAAUCUACGAUGACCAAUAAAGCACCACUUUCUACUAUGGCGAAGCCGACAAGGUUCUGCAUCAAAAUUACAAGUGGGACAUGCUAAACCAGUAUGUGAGUUCCAACCAGAUAAGAUAUCGAGUUCAAGAAAAUCACUAAUUGUCCACAUAAGAGCAACUCGCAACCUAAACAUAUCUUUCUUUGAUGAAUCAAAAGUUUUGACACCUUCACUCCACAACUCAUUCAACUCCUUAAUAAGGGGUUGUAGUUAUCUAUGUUAUUUCCCACCGUACGUGGACCAGGAAUGAUUAUUGAGAGGAUAAAAUUAGAUUGUUUCAUACACAACUAAGGAGAAAGGUUGUAUGUGACUAAAAUGACUGGCCAAAUUCUAUAAUUAGUACUCAUCGUACCAAAAGGAUUGAAGCCAUCACUAGCUAGGCCAAGCCAAACAUUCCGGGGAUCAAAGGCAAAUUCAGGAAAAGUUGUAUCAAACCUAUUCCAUGCCUCACCAUCUCUAGGAUGCCUCAUGAUUCCAUCUUUGUUACUAUAUUCAGCAUGCCAUCUCAUAUAUUUUGCUAUUUUAGAGCACAUGAACAAUUUCUGCAACCUUGGUUUUAAUGGAAAGUAACGCAAAAUCUUUGCGGACUUCUUAGUUUUCUUCUUACCUGUGGCAGACACAAUAUCUUCAUUUCUUUUCUUAUCAGUCUUCCACCUAGAAAUGUGACAAUACUUAUUUGUUUCCUCAUUAGCAUCAUUCCCCAAAAUAACAUACAAUCAUUUAGAAGCAUCUAUCUUGAUAUAAUCAAGACAAAGCUUGCUGAUAGUUUUCUUGGCCUCACAAAAAGAAUGAGGUAUCCGUGCAAAUGUAAAUGCAUCCCUCAACAAAUAUAGUAUCAUGGUCAUUCCCUUGUCACUUAGCCUAGACAAACAUUUUAUGUGAUACAAUUUUAAUAAAAAUUCUAGUUUUGAAUACUUGGACCCUUCAAACAUUCUUGACUCCCAUCCAUAAGCAACUCAAAAAAGUCUUUAUCAUUUGAAGCAGGCUCAUCAUUUAACCUUUCUUCACCACCCGCUACUUGUGACGGACCUACAUCAACCCCAUCGUGCCUUAGGCCCCCAAAUGCUUCAUUAAUCAAUAAUUUAACUGGAUUUUCAGGAGGUAAUGUAUCUUGUAUAACCACAUUAUUUAAGAAUUAGGCAAUAUAUUUCUGUCACCAUGAAUAGUCCAAGUGACAUAAUUUUCAAGGAAUGGUUUGCAAAUCAAAUGUUUGAAUGCUACCUCUCUAGUCUGCCACUUUGCGAAUCCACAUUUAGGACAAUGACACGUUAUUCUAUCUCCAGCAACAACAUUAGCAAAUGCAAAAUCUAAAAAUUGAUUUAAACCAACUAAAUAUUCCCUGGAGUUCCUUGGCUUGCUAGUCAAAGAUUUAUCCAUAGAAAAGUAUUAACUUUCAAGUCCAGCUGAUGAACCUUUCAGAAUAUAAAGAGAAAAUAUCAGUUCUUUAUAAAAAUUCACAAUAAAAGUUCAUUCUCAAAAGAAAAAUUCACAGUAAAAAUUGGGAUAAGUAUUGUUCAUAAAAUAUUACAGUCUUAAUUAUUAUCUUACCCAAAAUAGAGUGUAAUAAACCAAAUCUUAACAAGCACACUGACUAUAGACAAUGUAACAAUAGAUUCUAACAUAUGCAAUGUACUAGAUAAUAUACAAAAUCAUGAUAACAAGAGGGGAAAUAAGCUGUAAAGGGAACUUCUUGUAUGCUGAUUUUAUGCCCAAUAUUUGUCAAUAACCUCCAGGUUCAAGUAGCACAACACAAAUGUCAUAGAGGUCAUGCUCAUCGGGAGCAGUGAAGGAAACUACACAAAUACAACUACAAGCAUAGUAGCAGCAUCAAUAGCAAUGUCCAAAUUUUGCAACUGAGCAGUCAAUGUAACAAUGAAAGCACCAAUGUACUACAAAUUUAAAUUUUGAUCAAUUCCAUUUUCAGCAUAUGAGCAAAAACAAGGAAACAACCAAGCAUCUGGACCUCAAAUUAUAAAUGGGAUCCUACAAUCAGGGUUAGCUUGGAGAAAGGGCGUUCAAAUGUUCAAUUGAACCCACUUGUCAAAGAAGACGGGCAGUGGUAAUGGAGAACUACCAAAAGCACAAAGAAAUCAAGGAAAAAACACACAAAAAUCAUACAGAUCGACCAUUUAAUACACACAAUAAUUCAAUAUCAAACACUAUUUAAUCACACAGAUCGACCAAAUUACAUACAUAAAUUCAAAAUUAACAGAAAACCCAUGAGGGGAAAUGAGGAAAGAAAGAGAAAAAUCAAACAUGGGAGGUGUAAAAGCGGUGGAGAUUGAAGUAGAGAACUUCGAUUGAAACAGACCUUUGAUUGAAGUGGAGAACUUCGAAAAGAAGCAGAGAACUUCGAUUAAUGGAGGUGUAAAACUAUUGAGCAGAGGACUUUGACUAAUUAGCGGAAUCUAGGGUUUUGGCGGGUGAAGACGGCGGUAACAGAGUACGUAUGCCGGUGGCGGCGACGGGAGAAAAUGCGGAGGCGGUAAUGCCGGGGAUUGAAGGGAUGGACGAGUUCAGCGGGAGUUUUUGGUGUAUUUGGUGGGGCGGAAGUUUCUAGGGGGAAAAAUUGGAGGGAGUGUAAAUUAAAAGACCCACUAUUAUUUUUAGGGUUGCAGAUGUUUUUGAC